GACGAACGCUGGCGGCGUGCUUAACACAUGCAAGUCGAGCGGAGCGGCGAACGGGUGAGUAACGCGUGAGUAACUGCCCCCCUCUCUGGGAUAACAGUUGGAAACGGCUGCUAAUCCCGGAUAGUGGGGGAUGGCUCGCGGCCUAUCAGCUUGUUGGUGGGGUAGUGGCCUACGAAGGCGACGACGGGUAGCAGGCCUGAGAGGGCGACCGGGCACAUGGGGCUGAGAUACGGGCCAAACUACGACGGGAGGCAGCAGUGGGUAAUAUUGCACGAUGGGGGAAACCCGGAUGCAGCAACGCCGCGUGCGUGAUGACGUCCUUCGGGUUGUAAACCGCUUUCAGCCAUGACGCGGUAGUGGCAGAAGAAGCACCGGCUAACUACGUGCCAGCAGCCGCGGUAAUAC
RNAcentral lists this ribosomal RNA (405 nucleotides) under uncultured bacterium. RNAcentral describes it as "partial 16S ribosomal RNA". It matches the Rfam family "Bacterial small subunit ribosomal RNA", at positions 28 to 526 of the family's 1533-position model. The record is from RNAcentral.